This 274-nucleotide ribosomal RNA is filed under the name uncultured bacterium. RNAcentral's name for it is "partial 16S ribosomal RNA". It matches the Rfam family "Bacterial small subunit ribosomal RNA", at positions 523 to 796 of the family's 1533-position model. The record is from RNAcentral.
AUACGGAGGGCGCAAGCGUUGUUCGGAAUUAUUGGGCGUAAAGCGCGUGUAGGCGGCCUGGUAAGUCGGUUGUGAAAUCCCCGGGCUCAACCCGGGAACUGCGAUCGAAACUGCCGAGCUCGAGUCUCGGAGAGGAGAGCAGAAUUCCCAGUGUAGGGGUGAAAUCCGUAGAUAUUGGGAGGAACACCAGUGGCGAAGGCGGCUCACUGGCUCGAUACUGACGCUGAGGUGCGAAAGCGUGGGGAGCAAACAGGAUUAGAAACCCCUGUAGUCC